Molecule: ribosomal RNA, 253 nt
Filed under: uncultured prokaryote
Description: partial 16S ribosomal RNA
Rfam family: Bacterial small subunit ribosomal RNA
Source: RNAcentral
GACGAACCUUGCUAACGUUAUUCGGAAUUACUGGGCUUAAAGGGUGCGUAGGCGGUGCAGAAAGUCGGGUGUGAAAUCCCCCAGCUCAACUGAGGAAUUGCGCCUGAAACUACUGUGCUCGAGGAAGACAGAGGUACGCGGAACUUAGGGUGGAGCGGUGAAAUGCGUUGAUAUCCUAAGGAACACCGGUGGCGAAGGCGGCAUCCUGGACCGGUAUUGACGCUGAGGCGCGAAAGCCAGGGGAGCAAACGGG